This is a long non-coding RNA of Juglans microcarpa x Juglans regia, 594 nucleotides long. RefSeq lists it as uncharacterized. The record is from RefSeq and is a predicted model, not a curated record. The transcript is spliced from 2 exons. NCBI's taxonomy places the organism in Eukaryota, Viridiplantae, Streptophyta, Magnoliopsida, Fagales, Juglandaceae.
AAACGGUGCGUUUAUCAUUUUCCACUUUGGUUUCUCUCCCCCUGCUCGAUCUCUCUCCCAGCCACUAUCUCUGGGCGACGACAUCCUAACCCUAACCUUUCUUCUUUUCUUCCCCGUGCUCAAUCUAUAUUCUUUUGUUCUCUAAUAGAUACGACUCCAUCUUUCGUUCCCCUUUUACAUUUUCUUUCUUGGUUUCUUUCCCCUUGCUCGAUCUCUCUACCAACCCUAACCCUAACAAGAGAGAGCUGUGCGAUGCCAAGGAAGAAAUGAUUCACAAUCUAGAUUGUUGCUAUGCGACGCCAUUCUAAAUUCAAAUGGACAGAUAUAGUGUAGACAAAGAGAGAUUGAAUUGUUAAGGAAUGAAGAAGAGCUUCAAAUGAGAGGAAGGAAUUGGGAAAAGGGAGUUAAGACUCAUAACGAUUAAGUGGAGCUGCGAAGAAGGCAAGAAGUAGACAUGCUGCAUUCAAGCACACUAGUUUUGUAAUGGGGGCCAAUUAUUGGGGACUUCAUUGUUAGGGACUUUAUGUAUAUUGAUAUAGACUUGGUGUUAAAUUUGGAAUGUCGAAUGUCUGGCAGGGAUGCUUGAGUUUCUAA